UAAUCGGGGUUGCGGACAGUGUCUGGUGGGUAGUUUGACUGGGGCGGUCUCCUCCUAAAGAGUAACGGAGGAGCACGAAGGUUGGCUAAUCCUGGUCGGACAUCAGGAGGUUAGUGCAAUGGCAUAAGCCAGCUUGACUGCGAGCGUGACGGCGCGAGCAGGUGCGAAAGCAGGUCAUAGUGAUCCGGUGGUUCUGAAUGGAAGGGCCAUCGCUCAACGGAUAAAAGGUACUCCGGGGAUAACAGGCUGAUACCGCCCAAGAGUUCAUAUCGACGGCGGUGUUUGGCACCUCGAUGUCGGCUCAUCACAUCCUGGGGCUGAAGUAGGUCCCAAGGGUAUGGCUGUUCGCCAUUUAAAGUGGUACGCGAGCUGGGUUUAGAACGUCGUGAGACAGUUCGGUCCCUAUCUGCCGUGGGCGCUGGAGAACUGAGGGGGGCUGCUCCUAGUACGAGAGGACCGGAGUGGACGCAUCACUGGUGUUCGGGUUGUCAUGCCAAUGGCACUGCCCGGUAGCUAAAUGCGGAAGAGAUAAGUGCUGAAAGCAUCUAAGCACGAAACUUGCCCCGAGAUGAGUUCUCCCUGACUCCUUGAGGGUCCUGAAGGAACGUUGAAGACGACGACGUUGAUAGGCCGGGUGUGUAAGCGCAGCGAUGCGUUGAGCUAACCGGUACUAAUGAACCGUGAGGCUUAACCUUACAACGCCGAAG
RNAcentral lists this ribosomal RNA (707 nucleotides) under Escherichia coli. Its description in RNAcentral is "partial 23S ribosomal RNA". It matches the Rfam family "Bacterial large subunit ribosomal RNA", at positions 2236 to 2925 of the family's 2925-position model. The record is from RNAcentral. Lineage: Bacteria; Pseudomonadati; Pseudomonadota; Gammaproteobacteria; Enterobacterales; Enterobacteriaceae.